Molecule: transfer RNA, 76 nt
Filed under: Dugesia japonica
Lineage: Eukaryota; Metazoa; Platyhelminthes; Tricladida; Dugesiidae
Description: tRNA-Ala
Source: RNAcentral
UACGUAGUCAGUAUUUUUCUUUAUUCUUAUAAGCUGGCAUAUUUUUUUUCGUUUUAAUAGAUUAGUAUUUGUUUAA